GGAACAGGUCACACUAUCGGCCGAUAGGUGUGUAUCGGAUCGAUCUCUUGUAUUACAUGUAUGUAGACAUCCAUGAACAUCAGAAUGGUAUUGUCUCCGAUCUAUGUGCUUUUAAUGGCGACUGCAAUGUUGAGCCUCCUGCUUUCUUCGGUAAGCAGUUCAUGUUCAGAUGGCUACAAUCGUCCCUACACUCUACCAAUGUUCCACAAAUGCGGGACCCAAUUGGUCAAUGGCAGGGAGAUACAGCUCAUCCCAAAAGUAGUCCCCAUGAGAUUCCCUAACCCUAGAUGUCCCGGAUAUAAUGCCAUGCAUCACAGCGAUAUUCUGCAUGGGUAUCGCGUCUGCCGUUUACCAGAAAGUGUUACUAUAAAUACUACUUCUGCACAGACUGCCACCGAACAGACAACAG
Lytechinus pictus (painted urchin) is the source of this 409-nucleotide long non-coding RNA. RefSeq lists it as uncharacterized. NCBI's taxonomy places the organism in Eukaryota, Metazoa, Echinodermata, Echinoidea, Temnopleuroida, Toxopneustidae. The record is from RefSeq and is a predicted model, not a curated record. The transcript has 4 exons.